AGCCCUGAGGUGAUGUGUCAUGUUGAAUUGCAAAUUCAAAGGAGCAGCUUCAACCCUGCCGGGGCUU
This 67-nucleotide transfer RNA is filed under the name Ochotona hyperborea (northern pika). RNAcentral's name for it is "tRNA-Cys". It matches the Rfam family "tRNA". From Rfam's summary of the family: Transfer RNA (tRNA) molecules are approximately 80 nucleotides in length. Their secondary structure includes four short double-helical elements and three loops (D, anti-codon, and T loops). Further hydrogen bonds mediate the characteristic L-shaped molecular structure. tRNAs have two regions of fundamental functional importance: the anti-codon, which is responsible for specific mRNA codon recognition, and the 3' end, to which the tRNAs corresponding amino acid is attached (by aminoacyl-tRNA synthetases). tRNAs cope with the degeneracy of the genetic code in two manners: having more than one tRNA (with a specific anti-codon) for a particular amino acid; and 'wobble' base-pairing, i.e. permitting non-standard base-pairing at the 3rd anti-codon position. The record is from RNAcentral. RNAcentral also lists the same sequence under 2 other names. Lineage: Eukaryota; Metazoa; Chordata; Mammalia; Lagomorpha; Ochotonidae.